UAAGAAGCUGGUGAUGUGUCCAGAAUCUCU
RNAcentral lists this non-coding RNA (30 nucleotides) under Rattus norvegicus (Norway rat). Lineage: Eukaryota; Metazoa; Chordata; Mammalia; Rodentia; Muridae. The record is from RNAcentral.